Molecule: long non-coding RNA, 6177 nt
Filed under: Sus scrofa (pig)
Lineage: Eukaryota; Metazoa; Chordata; Mammalia; Artiodactyla; Suidae
Description: lncRNA (ENSSSCG00070026722.1)
Source: RNAcentral
GGGCCGGCGCGGACGGGACCGGAGUCGCCGCAGCCGCUGGCCUGGCCUCAGCCGCGCAGACACCGCCCGCGACGCAGCCGUCCGCCGCUCCUCCGCCGCCUGGCUCCGCGCCUCGGUCCGGCUCUGCCGCAGCAGCCGCGAGGAGGGGCCACCGGAGCGCAACUCAGGAGCCGCGAGUCAUCGCCCGGCCGCCGGAUCCGCCGCCAGGCCUCCUCCGGGGGCGCCCACGCUCUCGCCGCCGGGACCCUCCGCCAAGCCAGCAGCCACCUGCUCCGGGCCUGAGGCCAGGACACGAUGCGCUCCGUGCUGGUGCUCUCGGGGUUGCUCCUGCUGCUGUCGCCGUCGUUCUUCCUGGAUGCCGCCAACACCACAGCCAACACCAUAGCCAGCACCACAGUCUCAGCCGUGUCGACACCUUUCAACAGCAAGCAUUCAGACGAUGUCUCUCAACUCAACCUCAAUCACAACUAGCAGAUCUUCACUUCAGAGUUCAACAGAGCCCAAGGGCAGCAUGCCCACAUCAUUUAGCGCCUCAGGGGUGACGUCAGCCCAGCAAAACACAAGUCCAGCAGCCAGUACCAAAACUGAAAAACCAACCUCAGGCAGCUCUCCUACAGUUGGCUCAGAGGAUUUGAAAUCCACAGCACUCACCGUCUCGACAAAGCCUGAAAUCACAAGCGGUCAGAGUGAAAUUACUAAAGUUACAGCCAGCGUGGUCUCUACGGAAGGACAUCAGACAACCACUUCACCUAUAAAUCUGAAUAAUACCUCAAAGACCAGUCCUGCUUCUACUCCUGUUCCCGCCCUAGCAAGCAUUUCCCAGCCUGGCACGGUCCCUGGGACUCCUCCUGUUCCUGUGACUUUGGUCCCCAUGACUCCAGAGCCCCCAGGGAGCUCCUCCCAGGGAUCAAACAGAAAUAUUGCAACCACAAGUGUCAGCACACCAGCCACCUUCACAACUCAGGAGAUGCUGAUUACAAUAACGCCACCGGUUACCUCAGGAGGAACCCAGCGUAUCCCCAGCGAGCCGCCGGUGCUCCCUGACACCCUACGGCUCCUCAGCCCACAGGCUCUGCCUCAGGACCCAGGACCGCACCUCCCGCCCGGGGCCCCACGCGUUCCAGCCCUCGGCUGGUGUCGGCAGCCUCUCCCACCGCCAGCCUCCCUCCUCCCGCCUCAGCAAGCGGGGUAGAGAUACAGUGCGGUGCUCCUGAAAGGCUGAGUGAGGAGACGUUCGUCCUGAACUUCUCCAAAGCCGACCUCUGUAAGUCAAGCCCCGUGGGAGCGAAGCUGUAUACGCUUCUGUGCCAGGCGGCAAAAGCCACCUUCAACCCAUCUCAAGAUCAGUGCAAUAUUCAGCUGGCACCUGUUCCGGAAAUCCAGUCAGUGGCCGUCAAAUCCAUCACCAUCCACACAAAGCUCUGUCCCAAGGACACGUUCGAGUUGCUGAAGAACAAGUGGGCUGACCUAAAAGAGGUGGGAGUCACAAACAUGCAGUUGGGGACCAAGGGCCACCAGAGGAGACGGAGGACCGGUUCAGCAUGCCCCUCAUCAUCACCAUUGUCUGCAUGGCAUCCUUCUUGCUCCUGGUCGCGGCCCUCUACGGCUGCUGCCACCAGCGCCUCUCCCAGAGGAAGGACCAGCAACGGCUAACAGAAGAGCUACAGACAGUGGAGAACGGUUACCAUGACAACCCAACACUGGAAGUGAUGGAGACCUCAUCAGAGAUGCAGGAGAAGAAGGUGGCCAACCUCAAUGGGGAGCUGGGGGACAGCUGGAUCGUCCCUCUGGACAACCUGACCAAGGAUGACCUGGAGGAGGAGGAAGACACACACCUCUAAUCAGGUCUGCCGGCGGCCUCCGACAGCGCACAGGGCUCCAGCUGAACCACCUCAAGUGCCGUUUGGACAAGGGAGGAAAAUCCUUCCCCUUGGAGGGAAAGACUGGGGAGGGAGGGCGGGCGGACUCGCAGGCCUCCCCAUCCCCAUAGGCCUUAAUUUUUCCCUUUUCAAGCUGAACAAUUCACCUUCUGUGUAGAACCUUCUUGUAAAAUAACCCACUAGUGCCUGAGUUCAGUGCCGCUGGGAGGUCAGGCAAGAGCCGUAUGAGGGACUUUGGAGACCCCCUGGUAGAAUUCCUUCAUUUCACAGACAGGCGACCGAGGCCCAAAGAGGGUAAAGUCGAGGUCACCCAGCCCCUGGGUGACAGCGUCAGGAUGAGAACAGAGCUUCCUCCCUUCAGCCCGGUGCCCGUUCCCAGCACACUGCGCUGCUGUGGCGACCCAACGCCCACCCUCCAGAGCUGAUGGGCUGGAGGGGAGAGCAGGGCAGGCUCGUCUCGGUGGCGUCUGAUUACUUCAAAGCCUAGGCCCCGUCGUCUGUCUCCUGUCCGCACCCGCCAGUGUGUCCCGUCGUCUGUCUCCUGUCACCCCCCGCCAGUAUGCUGUCCUCUUUGUUGUCCCCGCUCCCUUGACUCAGUUUUAAUUCCCACGCCGUCCCAGGGCCCCUGGCACUAACACAGGUCACUCGUGACCUUGCUGUCCUUGCUCUGGAGUCUCAUUUCCUGGCAUUUCUUCAGAGAUUGGGACCAAAUGCACACAGGACUCAGUGUGGACAAGUGUGCCCAGGCACCCACCUACAGGGGGACUCCUUCCUCCCAGGAUGGGUCCCCUGGCCACCCCCCGAGGCGCUCCUUGAGGCCUCCUCUUCCCACCGGGCACCAAAAGCAGCAGCAGCUACCGAAGGCAAGGUGUUCCUAUUUCGUUGUCACUGCUUGGCCCCUGCGAUGGGGUGGGGGCUCCAGCUCGCAGCCUCUGAGAUCCAGCAGCUUAAGGACAGAGCUUCGUGGGGCCCCGGCAGCUGAGAUGUGUCUGAAAUAGACAAUCGAUUGAAACAGCAGGAAGGACAGGCUUUACUUACUCUGUUUCUUUGGAAACUUAGGGGCUUGGCAAGCUGCUGAGAGUUUUGUUUUCUUUUUUCGUUGAUCUUUGAAUCUGGCUCUCCACCUCCCAAGGCCAAAGCUCAAAUCACUGGGACCUUUCAGUUAGAUUCCAGGCUUCUGUGCACAGGCAAGAAAGGCCUAGAACGCCAGGUGCCCUUCAAAGUGCACGAGGGGCAGCCCCAGCCCGGCUUUCUGUUCCCAGCCACCUCUCUCUGUCCGGGUGCAGAGCUGGGCCUGGCUGGGUCCCUUCUCUGUGUUCCUAGCAAGGCUGGCUGCCAGUGCUUCCGCAGGUUCUGGGGGCAUCUCAGGGAAACGUAAUGCCGACUGCUGCCCAGGGGAGGGGCUUGAGGAAGCGCAGUGGGCUGAGGACUGGGCAGAGGGAGGCUUCCUUGGGUUUUUUUGAGAAGAGGGUCCUGCAUAGAAUUCUGUUUUGCCCAUGCUCUCUAUUGUCCCUGGGGAUAAAGUCCCUGCAGCCAACCAGGAAGAUAGGCACAACUGCUUAGGAGAAUGAAAGUGGUCCCUUCAGGGCAAAGAAGCUGGACCCCCUGUACGUAGAGGCAGGGCCAGGCUGCAGCAGUUCGAUAAAAUAGGCUAUCUGCUUUAAGAUAGGUUCUUUUUUUCUUUUUUUUUGGCCACACCCUUGGCAUGUGGAAGUUCCUGGGUCAGGGAUCGAACCGUGCCACAGCAGUGACAACACCAGAUCCUUAACCCACUGAGCCACCUGGAAACUCCAGGUUAUUUUUCUUAAAGGGGAGGAUGUGAGCCUGCCUUGGCUGCUUGAUCCCCUCUUCAUAGCCUUUAGCCACUGGAUACCCAGGGGAAGAGGAAGGCCAGAGGUUCAAGCAGGUCCCCCAGUGAGCUUCCCAAGAGCUAGAAAGAUACUAAGCUAUCCAGGAUCCUCAGUGUGUGUCCUGAUUCUCUAGUAUUUGGAGGUGGCAGGCUGGAGAUGAAUACCAGUUUGGGGUAAAAGAGGAAAUAUUGUUUCAAUGGGAAAAGAUCUAUUUGGUUCUUUCUACCGGGGGGGGGGUGGGGGGUGUUUCUAUCAUGGCCACUGGGAGAGGCCAGACCGGAUUAGUACAGCAAGUAUGUCUCCGCAAAUCAAGCAAAGGCUGCAAGCGCCAGGUCUACGGAGACAGAGACGAUGACUGCAAAGACUAGAGUAAAAAUGAUGCUUGGUCAGGAGGAAUGACCGUGGCUCUGUCCAGCGAGAACCCCGAAGAGCUUUGGGUGGUUCGAAGUCUCUUCCUUUGGUGCAUCUGGAUUGUACUGCUCUAGCGUUUUGGGGCAACUUGCCUUGGCUCGCUCUUGCUGCUAGACACCCGGUGUCAAAGGCCAUACCGCCGUGUAACUGUAAAGGGCAUCUACUCCCCCCGCCAUUGCUGGCUUCUAAUGCUAUCUGGUAAUUCAGAUUCUGGGGCGGAGAGGAGAGAAGAGGAAUGCCACCGGGAACUCAGCAUGACUUGCAAACAAAGUUGUGCCAGAGAGAGAUUAUAAGCUUGAUUUCAGUGGCAGACUUGUUUCCCUAAACUGCAUAAAAGGCCAGAGACCAGACAAAAUCUAGUGCAGCACGCUGUCGCGUGGGAGGGGAGAGAGGCAGCAAUGCUUAUGAAGGGGGUAGAGAAAAUUCUUUGCAUCAUAAGACAGAAUACGGGUUUAAUCUAGUCUAGACGCAAGAUGAUUCUUCCUCCUCUUGAUAAGGAAAGUGAGCAGAAAGUAUAUUUAAACCACUUCUUGAGCUUUAUCUUUUUGACCAUAUAGUAGAGAAACUUGGAAAAACAGGUUCAAGCUGAUACAUAUAUACUUAUUUUUUGAUAAUGUAAAUACAACAGCCACAUGUUAAUCCACCCUGCACUGCUUUGAGUGAAUAUACUUUGUAAAAACCUUUGUUAGCUAAGCGAGAUGGCUUUUUUUUCCCCCUAAACAGGAAUGUUAAUGUCUAUUUUACUAGAAAUAACAAGUCUGUUUUUCUUUAAGUGAAAAAUGAAAUAUAAGACAGGCUGAUGACAAAGUCUUUGUCUUGUAGGUUGGGCAUUUUUAUUUUUAAAUACGAUCCUCACCCCCUCCCCAGUGAAGUCCCAGCAUAGUACGGGAAGGUUGGCGUCAAAAUGCUCUGCUUGGAACCCCAGGCCCGUCUUUUUUUUUUUUUUUUUUUUUUUUUUUAAACAAAACAGAUAAAGAGCCUGAUGCCCAGAAAGAUAAAGUGACUUGGCCAAAAUCACAUGUUUAGUGACAGAAACAGGAUUAAAACCUGGGUUGGAAGACUGUCCAGUGCUGUGUGCCUCAGAAUCAACAAAUUAAGGACUGCUAAUGAAGGGCAGGCACCAGAAUGACACAAAGGACAGAAUUCCCUUCCCAAAUGUCCUGUAGCAAAGCCCGGGAGAGCAUGAAGACAAAGUAGGAAGCUUAGUGAUCUGCUGUACAUCUUCUGAGCUGUGUAGGUCUAAGAACAAUUCUUUUCUGCCAAGAAAUAGUUUUGAAUGAGCUUUCACAUAAAGAGCUUCUACCAGUAGGACUAAGGAUCAAAGGGAACCAGACCAGGGGGAGGCGGGGGGAGAGUAAAGGCGUGGUGUGUUUCAACCUUGUUAUUAGCUGAUUCACUCGGGUUUAGUGAAAACCCAACACUGAGUGAAAGGAGGGGAUUACAGUUUGCUGUGGGUCUUUUUUUAACUUGGUGAAUGUUAAACAGUUUGCCCGGCAGACAGGGGGAGCAUGUGUCUUAGUGGACAGGGGUCUAAAGUACACUGGAAUUUACUGAGAAACUUGUUUGUAAAAACUCUUAAUUAUUGCCAUUUUCUUAUGAAAGUAUAUUUUGGGAAAUUGUAUACUGUCAAUUAAAGUGCUUUCGUGUAAGCGGGUUCAAGCCCUAGUAGUUUGCUUGCUUGGCUUCCAUUCUUCACUUGUGCAUGAGUCUUAUCACUGAAGCCCCUGAGGACAUGGGACACCCAAGCAGCCACCUCUGCUCGUAGUCACGCCCACUUAACUACAUGCAGAGAGAGAGAGAGAAAAGGACCGAAGCUCAAAGGAAAGGGGGCCACCCUGAAGGGGAUGGCAGGUCUCCCUGGCGAUCCCAGCCGAAAGGGCCUCGAGUUCCCUCAUAGCACUGUUGUACCCCCUUCCUCCCCCUCUACUUCUGCCGCAGAUAAGAGAGCGACAUGCCUGCCACCAGAGAUGCCAGGGGGGCUGUGGAACCCUGACCAGGUCUGAAACCACUGGCAGAAGCAAGGCAAAUAAAACUAC